RNAcentral lists this microRNA (24 nucleotides) under Ananas comosus (pineapple). RNAcentral's name for it is "microRNA s0220_c085". The record is from RNAcentral. Lineage: Eukaryota; Viridiplantae; Streptophyta; Magnoliopsida; Poales; Bromeliaceae.
GCUGGUAGCUAAAAUUACAGACAC